Molecule: long non-coding RNA, 1310 nt
Organism: Branchiostoma floridae (Florida lancelet)
Lineage: Eukaryota; Metazoa; Chordata; Leptocardii; Amphioxiformes; Branchiostomatidae
Exons: 3
Source: RefSeq, a predicted model, not a curated record
CUUUGUAAUCAGUCCAUCUGCAUAAUUCAUCUCAGUUCGGGUAACGAUGUUAGCCAGACCAUGGCCACAUGGGGUCGGCGUCAUUGUCUUGGUGAUGUCGGAAUUUCUUAGUAAUCGGUGACAUCCCUAAUUGAUCUGAGCCGAAAUGCCGCCGUGCUAAUCAAUGCCAAAAACAUCCCUUUGUUUAUUACCGACAGAACUCCGUAUGUGGCCCGGCCGCUGGCACGGCAAGGUGCCACGGUACCGCUAAAGCGGUCAUUACAGCAGCGCAUCUCGUGGCGUAUGCAUCGCAGACUUUUCGCUCUAAAAUUUCUCGAGUUUUCGCUUAAGUCUUUCCUCUAACCUUGUCGGACGAUUUGAACACGCUUGUCUCUAGUUUCAUCUUGCUGGCCAAGCCACCACGUAUACGCCCCGUCGGCGGAAACCGCUUCCCGUUCAGCGGAGCCAGCGCGCCAAGACCCCGUAAACGUCGGCCCGUCCCUGGAGCCAGUCAGCUAGGUCUCCGUCGGUUCAUUCCUCGGUACCGGUCAAUCACGUCCCCGUUCCGGUGUCUCCCUACAGAGCCCUUGCGAGGCCCUGAACAUAGGACACAACUUUCGCGGUCUCAAGCCGGAUUUCCUCCGAACUUGUUCGUACGUACCCGGCGGCAUUGCUUGGACAGUGCUUUGACAACGUACUCCCAGACUGUUGACUUCCUGACCCUUCUUGACCCGUCUUCAGCUUAGAGAGGCGAACAUCCGGUCAACACCGAUCAACUAGCCGAACCUUUCUUCAGUGACCGAACUCAACUCCACGCCCCGGACAGAAAUGUUCCAGUCAACAUGACGACGACCUUGGACUGUUGGACUUCAAAAGAAACAUGGACUGGUUCGACUGACAUGGACUUGCAAAAUGGAGACAAAUGGCCGCAUGCUGAGGAUUCGAGUAACUAAUCGCCUAUGAGAUUAUGUAUGAAUUUCUCCUCAGACUAACCAUACAGGACAAGAGCGACAACGACGAGAUGUUCCUGACACCCAUACCUGUGUCCAUCAGGACGAAACAGUUCCAUCACAAAGUCAGUCGGGUCCUUCCACUGCAAGUCACUGAGACGAGCUGUAUCGCUGGAGGAGCCGGAAUAGACGUCUGUGCACCUUAUAAAGUCGGGAAGGAGCUACACAUCACCCAGAACCGCACCGUCCACAGAAGGAAGACAACGAGAGGGCUAAGAAAUGCCAGAACAGUAGCAGAUCUGGAGCAGCAAAUCGAUUGCACUGCCACAACCACAGAAAACCUAAAACUAGUUAGAUAAUUCACGGGCUGGUUUUGACUGA